GGAGUUCCCUGCUGGAAUUUUUAGG
RNAcentral lists this non-coding RNA (25 nucleotides) under Mus musculus (house mouse). Lineage: Eukaryota; Metazoa; Chordata; Mammalia; Rodentia; Muridae. The record is from RNAcentral.